This 61-nucleotide transfer RNA is filed under the name Phatnoma laciniatum. Its description in RNAcentral is "tRNA-His". Lineage: Eukaryota; Metazoa; Arthropoda; Insecta; Hemiptera; Tingidae. The record is from RNAcentral.
AUUUGAGUAGUUUAAUAAGAAUUUUAAUUUGUGGUGUUAAAGGUGUUUUUAAUCUCAGGUU